Molecule: ribosomal RNA, 505 nt
Filed under: Empedobacter sp.
Lineage: Bacteria; Pseudomonadati; Bacteroidota; Flavobacteriia; Flavobacteriales; Weeksellaceae
Description: bacterial SSU rRNA
Rfam family: Bacterial small subunit ribosomal RNA
Source: RNAcentral
UAUAAUAGAUUUCAUAGCAUUAUGGAGUUUUGAAAGAUUUAUCGCAGUAGGAUAGGCAUGCGUAAGAUUAGAUAGUUGGUGAGGUAACGGCUCACCAAGUCGACGAUCUUUAGGGGGCCUGAGAGGGUGAACCCCCACACUGGUACUGAGACACGGACCAGACUCCUACGGGAGGCAGCAGUGAGGAAUAUUGACAAUGGGUGGAAGCCUGAUCCAGCCAUCCCGCGUGUAGGAAGACGGCCUUAUGGGUUGUAAACUACUUUUAUCUGGGGAUAAACCUAUCUACGAGUAGAUAGCUGAAGGUACCAGAAGAAUAAGCACCGGCUAACUCCGUGCCAGCAGCCGCGGUAAUACGGAGGGUGCAAGCGUUAUCCGGAUUUAUUGGGUUUAAAGGGUCCGUAGGCGGAUUAAUCAGUCAGUGGUGAAAUCUCAUAGCUUAACUAUGAAACUGCCAUUGAUACUGUUAGUCUUGAGUAAUGUUGAAGUUGCUGGAAUGUGUAGUGUA